CCUACGGGAGGCAGCAGUGGGGAAUCUUGCGCAAUGGGCGAAAGCCUGACGCAGCAACGCCGCGUGCGGGAAGAAGGCUUUCGGGCUGUAAACCGCUUUCAGCAGGAACGAAAAUGACGGUACCUGCAGAAGAAGGAGCGGCCAACUAUGUGCCAGCAGCCGCGGUGAUACAUAGGCUUCAAGCGUUGUCCGGAUUUAUUGGGCGUAAAGAGUUCGUAGGCGGUCGAGUAAGUCGGGUGUGAAAAUUCUGGGCUCAACCCAGAGACGCCACCCGAUACUGCUUAACUUGAGUUCGAUAGGGGAGUGGGGAAUUCCUAGUGUAGCGGUGAAAUGCGCAGAUAUUAGGAGGAACACCGGUGGCGAAGGCGCCACUCUGGAUCGAUACUGACGCUGAGGAACGAAAGCAUGGGUAGCAAACAGGAUUAGAUACCCUGGUAGUCCAUGCCGUAAACGGUGGGCACUAGGUGUGGGAUUCUAUUAACGAAUUCCGCGCCGUCGCUAACGCAUUAAGUGCCCCGCCUGGGGAGUACGGUCGCAAGCUAAAACUCAAAGGAAUUGACGG
RNAcentral lists this ribosomal RNA (562 nucleotides) under uncultured bacterium. RNAcentral describes it as "bacterial SSU rRNA". It matches the Rfam family "Bacterial small subunit ribosomal RNA", at positions 338 to 916 of the family's 1533-position model. The record is from RNAcentral.